AAAAGGGAAAAUUGAAAUCAAGUAGUACAACAAGAAUCGAUCUAUGAAGCGGUUAGAAUGAUGAACUUUUCAAACCGAGUUUUGCGAUUUGGAUGAGGAUUGUCGAGCCUCUUACCAGUUGAGAAUGGUGAAAUGGAAUGCAAAAAUAGAGAGAACUCGAAAUUCCAAAUGAUUGAGAAGCAAAAACCACUUAAAACGGAUGAAAAUCUAAGCUUUGGUGGUUGCUUAAAAAUCGCAAGGGUGGGGGAUCAGUGUACGGCGGAGUGAAAAGGGAAAGUGGAAGAGUGGAGCCUUAAAUAGGCAAAACCCUAACUGGCCUUAUUUAAUUUUUCUUUUUUAUUUUUUUUUGGUUCGGAACACUUACCUGGAACAGACAAUGGGUUGUUCUACUAGAAGAACAGUCCUUUGGUUGUUCUGACUGAAGUGUCCGAUUUUUCUUGUUUUUGACCUACAAAAUAAAUCUGAA
RNAcentral lists this long non-coding RNA (466 nucleotides) under Brassica rapa (field mustard). RNAcentral's name for it is "long non-coding RNA (BRAP_LNC003602)". Lineage: Eukaryota; Viridiplantae; Streptophyta; Magnoliopsida; Brassicales; Brassicaceae. The record is from RNAcentral.